AUGGCCGCGUCCACGGACUUUCAGGACGAGGCUGCAUGGAUUUCCACGUUUGCAGGUAAAACUACAAACACGAUGCAGCCGCUUCAGGACGGCGAGCCUCGUCCCUCAAUGCCAGAAGCUCCAGCUGAGAACCCAAGAGUCCACCAGAGUCCCAAUGAAGCAGCUCUCUGCUGGAGCACAGACCCAGGUCACCUUCCAGAGGACGACGAGCAGGAGGCACAUGAUCCAGAUCCACCUCAGGACCAGCUGGAGGUCCAGGAAGUAAAGCAGGGUCCAGCAGCUGAUGACCAAGAGGCGGGAGGCCAGGAGCAGAAGGAGGACAGAGCUUUGCCUCCAGACCCGGACUCCAACCUAACGAUGGGGACAGCCAAUCAGGACGAAGCCGGGGAGUCAGGCGGUAGCAUGCCGUCGCCGGUCGUCACUGAGACAGAGCAGAGAAACACAGAGAUGGCGGCUCAAGGCCGCCAGCCUGAGAGAUGUUCUGAACCUGGGCCUGCGGUCGAAGAAGCAGUGCUGCAGAAAGCAGGCGGACCCUCAGACCUGGUGACCUUCGCGGCGGUGAGUGCGAGCAGGCCGACCUCCGGCAGCGACAGAGAAGACGUGACCUGCUGCGACCUGCUGUCUCUGAAGAGCGACUCGGUAUCUUUGGCCAGCGAGUCCAACGUGUUCAGGAGGGUGAGUGAAAGACGAAGAGCCGGGGCCUUCACGCAGACUUCUGUUUCCGGAAAUGCCGAGCAGCUGUUGGGAUUGGUUUACACCAGCCCGACAGCUGCACCUGUACGAGCGCUGCUGCGUGUUCGUGAGUCUGACAGUAAUGAAGUGUUACACAAAUCUGCGUCCGUGCACACAGAAACACAGAAACAUUAUGUGACAUCACUCCUCACUCUGAACACGGCACGCCAAAAUAAAAGCACAAAAAACAGGAAAGAUUUGCUAUAAAUAGUUCACAGCAACGUCUUUUACGAGCCGAUGUGUUGCUUUGGACCGAGAUGAUUUCUGUGGUUUUAGGCAUAAAGAAGAAUCAUGCUUCCAUGAUUAACUUAUUUAUUUAUCCAUCAUGGACUGAGCACAGAAACGCGGAGCUCAUUAGAAAGCUCUGUGGGCAGGUACACACUGAAUCAGAUAUAAUAUCCAUGUGCAUAUCCAGGAUGCAGAUCCAGUGUCCACAAGCAGAGAACUAGUUUCUUACAGUGCAGUUUGUUCCACGAUGAGGACAGAGGGGAGGGUCUGCAUAUUAACAGGUCACUCGACGAUUUUUAAGCAUCCAUAACAUUUGCUGUUUGUUUAUAGUGAUGUCACUGGUGACAUCACGUGGUCACGGUUUGUUCAGAACAAGCCUUGAGUAAGAGUCAGACAACACUACAGCUCUCAGCUGUUAACAUGUUACAUGUUUGAAUUUUUGAAUGGAGUCUGGUGUGUGGCUGAGGUUCUCGUCACGUUUUACCCAGACUGUGAUGUCAACAGAACCAAAACUAAACCGUAAGUGAAACAGGAAGACCCGCCUUCUCCCAUCCAUGUUUAUCACGGUGGUAAUAAAGUGUAACACAAAAACUAUUGUGUUUAAUUUAUUUUUGAUGGGUUUAUCAUUUAUUAAUGGGUGCUGUGAAGUUCGUUGACCUUAACCUGAAGGAUGAGGUUGAAUGGAGAAACAGGAGGUGUGCUGGCGCACAGCCUCAGGUGAUGUCAGGUGAGCUCAGCCUCAGCAAGGCUCCGUCUACAUUUUCAUUCAGGUUUUUUUAUGCGAUCAAAUCUGUUUCACCUUUGCCGCUCUGCGUUGUAGAUCUGAGUAAUCACACGUGUUCGCGCCCUCUCGUUCAGCCUCUCACGUUUACAUUUGCACGCCGGCGAGGAAAAGCUGACCCCAUCUUGUCGAGAUGAACCUCGUGGACUGAACAGACUCCCGCCCUCUGCAGAGGUAUCAUCAUGCAGGCUCGCCUUCAUUUGGCGGCAGGCUCCGCAUUCCCCCCGCCGAACAAGGCUACAGCGUAAUCAUAAUUCUCUUGACCUCCAGUGACCCCUGCGAGGCUCUGACAACGAGGGCCACACCACACAACAGACGGCGCCGCCUGCUCCAAAAUGGCUUUUUCAUUUCUUGAACAAUCACGCGGCGGCGGUGCUAAAUGAGAGGGCAGAUUACAUAAGGCGGGGGUUCCUGGGGUGAGAUGAGAGCUUUUUCUCCAAAACGCCGCAGCCGUUAUCGCUCUCAUUAAAUUCCUCCUCUGACUCGGAGCCUGCUUUGAAUCCAUCCAUCGGAACAACACGGCGGCUGGAAAUUCUCAAUUAAUAUGUUAAUGUGUGCGAGAUGUUUCAUCACAGGAAGCAGAGCUCAGCGCACUCACAGGUUAGCGCCAAAUUACAGAAGACCCACAAACAGCAUCAUCCAAGCCCACAGCGGCGCUUUGGAGCAGGACCGUUCAGCAGGAACGGGCCCUGAAGGAGUUCCAAUAGAACCCUCCCAUCCACAGAUGUUUUCCAUAAACAUACUGUUGGUUGUUAUUUAGCUCGUGCUCCAGGGCCGAUACGUCCAUGAGACCGAGUUUGUGGAUCGGGGAUUAAAUGAGUGAACGUUACCUGAAGUGUCGCCUUACGCUCACAUCGACAUCAGAGCUGUGUAAAAGUAAAAGCUGGGCUUUUUUCUGCCUCUCUGUGCUUUGGAUACGCUUUCUCCUUGGAUGCAUGUAUGAAGAACUGAAUUAAAUUCACACUUUAUGCUGUUAAACUGUGAAUAAAAAUUAUACUUUUGUGUCUUUUGCCAUUACUUU
Oreochromis niloticus (Nile tilapia) is the source of this 2762-nucleotide long non-coding RNA. The record is from Ensembl. NCBI's taxonomy places the organism in Eukaryota, Metazoa, Chordata, Actinopteri, Cichliformes, Cichlidae.